UAUCUGAUUCGUGCUCAUGCACAGUGCAGCACGCCAAGGAAGUAUGAGUCAUAGAUUAGUGCAAGACGUCAAGCCAAGCAGACAGACUCACAGCUCACUGCUCCUGUGACCAAAGGACUCCAGCUGCAGGACCCCAAGGCUUCCCAGGAAGCCAGGACGGCAGGCAACAGAGGCAUCUUCGGGAAGUCGCCCACUGAGGGCUUUGAUGAAAGUUAGUGAAGUGACGUUAGGUCAGCAAUGAACCUCACUGGGACUCAGUACUCAGCAUGUGACGGUGUGACAGCGCCGGGAAUGUUACCAACAGCUGUCGUUGCAAUCUGCCAGCUUCCUGACCUCACCGGUCUGAGGAGGAGAUGUGUGAACUGAGUGACGCACAAAACAGAUGAAGACAAAGUACACUUGCAGUUGCUCAAGGCUGACUCUUUCCACCCUUCUGGCUCAAAGGUCCAGGCCCUCCAUGGACCUCAGUGGGCAGGUGGAGUCCUGGGAUGGAACCUGGGGUCUCUCCACGGACCUACAUUCCCAGUGCCACUGAGAAACCAGGUCCUGACACCUCGAGGAAACAACCUUCAACAUCUCAAUCCUUCGUGUCUUCUGCUCAGUUAAGACACGUGGGCGGCCAUGCGGAAGUAGAGAUAGAGUUUGCCUUGAAGCAGAUAAAGAGAGAGUUACACCUUCACAUGAGAGGGCGAGCGGCCCCCCACAGGCGUGGGCCCCGUGUGAGUUUGGGCAUCUUCUUACGCACACGAGAGUUACUCCUGGGCUCCAGGGAACUGUGGGAUUAUGAUUCUCAUGGGCCAAUUUUCUUAGAGCUUACUGUGGAGUUCUCGAAUAUCUUCCUGGUUCUUUUCAGGGGCCUCACACAUGUAAGAAAGUUGCAAAAGAAGUUUAUGAAAGAUAAAUUCUAAUCUAAAUCAACUCUUAGCCCAAGGCAAGAGGGGUCUUUAAAGAAUCCCUGUUCCCAGUAUCACUGGACCGCAGGCUGUGGCAACUAGGAACGCUGUGGGCCUUGUUCUAGAAACCCAGACCCUGUGUUCUGGGUCUGAGAUCUAAUAAACGAUUGUACGUUGUCA
This is a long non-coding RNA of Chinchilla lanigera (long-tailed chinchilla), 1073 nucleotides long. RefSeq lists it as uncharacterized. NCBI's taxonomy places the organism in Eukaryota, Metazoa, Chordata, Mammalia, Rodentia, Chinchillidae. The transcript is spliced from 4 exons. The record is from RefSeq and is a predicted model, not a curated record.